CCUACGGGAGGCAGCAGUGGGGAAUAUUGGGCAAUGGAGGAAACUCUGACCCAGCAACGCCGCGUGAAUGAUGAAGGUCUUCGGAUUGUAAGGUUCUUUUCUAAGGGAAGAAGAAAGUGACGGUACCUUAGGAAUCAGCCUCGGCUAACUACGUGCCAGCAGCCGCGGUAAUACGUAGGAGGCAAGCGUUAUCCGGAAUGACUGGGCGUAAAGGGUGCGUAGGUGGUUUGACAAGUUGGUAGCGUAACUCCGAGGCUUAACCUCGGCACUACUACCAAAACUGUUGGACUCGAGUGCAGGAGGGGCAAAUGGAAGUCCUAGUGUAGCGGUGGAAUGCGUAGAUAUUAGGAGGAACACCAGUGGCGAAGGCGAUUUGCUGGACUGUAACUGACACUGAGGCACGAAAGCGUGGGGAGCAAACAGGAUUAGAUACCCCAGUAGUC
Molecule: ribosomal RNA, 443 nt
Filed under: uncultured bacterium
Lineage: Bacteria
Description: partial 16S ribosomal RNA
Rfam family: Bacterial small subunit ribosomal RNA
Source: RNAcentral